UUUUUAUUUAAUGAGGAUUCAUGACUCACCACCAUUCUCUAUAUCUUCUCCCUAUUUAUUUGUUUGUUUGUUUCCUCUUUAUCCUAUCCUUUAAAGGAAAAAAAAGAUUAUUUGUAUAAGCAAGCACCCCACAAUCAUCUCAAUCUCCAGUUAUUUCACUAGUCCUUCAAAUGUAGGAUAAAGCUGCAGUAGUCAUCAGUUACACCACUGCAGAGUAUCUAUGCCAGAGCUGUGUUGGUGCAAAUCCAUGCUGACAAAACUGCAACACUGGCUAACUCGCAUUCACUUCUGAAACCAGAAAGGCAGCCGGACCCCUGUAGUGGCCCAUACCAGCAGCCAGGAGCAAAGACAGCAUGCCUCCCAGCCUGCCAGCCCCACUGAAGGGACUCAGAUGCAGCAAAGUAGACCUCACCCUUGACUGACUGCCCAGGUUUAAAUCAGCUUCUUAUCACUUGAACCAGCUUGUGUGCAACUUCUGUCCCUAGCCUUCAUGAUAAGAGGUCCUGGCUUUCCAUACUGAAUUCAUAUGAGUCUUCCGCUAAUUCAUCUACAUCUCUUCGGUCCACUAUACCCCUUCCUUUCCAAGGCUCCAAUCAAGUCUUUUUAUUAGCUGUGUGAGAACCUAUUUGGGGAACUGAAAAGGUGGCCUAGCAUUUGACAAACCUGCAGUGCUCAUCUCCAGUCACAGUAGACCUGCGGAACUAGUGGAUUCCACCGGAGAUUGGAGUGUGGUUAGUAGAGACCUACCAAACCUACCACAAUUUCACAGAUUUCAUCGAAAUCAGAGAGUGACACUCCUUGAGGAGAUUACAUCCAUCAUUGUUUUGAUUCAGUGGGAGCUGCAUGUACCCAGCAUCUCUGAAGAUCAAUCCUGCAUUUUCAGUGUAUCUGUAAACCUUUUGGGGCUUGUCAAGGUCUACAUGUAUAACAAGUAUGUAAACCUGGUAGAGAAGAUACUAAUUUUUGACUUGGUACAGUUGGUGUUUUGUUGCCUCUCCCUUUGUGCGAGUUUGGUGUUUGAGCUUCAUUUGAGUGCUCAUCUCCUCUUCUUCCCACUACACUGCCCCCUUUUUACACAUUCCCUACACUGCAAGAUAAAGGGCGUUCUGCAGUUUGAAGUGCCAAGACUUGCUAAAGCGCUUAUGCAAGUUAAUUACUGUGCCUGUUUAAUCCCAUAUAAUGCAGAUUAGUGCUGUCAAAUACCAUUCCAAGAGCAAUUCAUGUAACAGGCAGGCCUGCUGUCAUUUAGCUCAUUUAAUCAGAGAAACCUCUGUCUUGAAUAAUACCAGAGAUGAUAAUCUUGAAGCUAGGGAAUGCAAACAGCACCAUGAAUGGAAAUGUCCAACUGUGUUACAAAUCAGUGUGCAAUGCAUGGGUGCAAAAGUUAAAUGGACAUAUUAAGAUCGUCUUUUCCUAUGACAAAAAGGAAUUAUAAGUGAAGGUAUUGAACUUCCUGUUUCAAAGUAAUAAGCAUAAUGAAUAAGCAUUUAUGCCUCUAAGUUUGUUGGCCUUAGGUAUAUAGGUACAAAUGGAACGGACACAUGGCUGAUGCCAGUGCUCACAAUGAACUGCAUGGCUUCAAAAGACCCCAAAAACCAAAUUAGUAGUUUCUUACUAAAUUAAGCACAAUGUUAAAAUACAUUUCUACUAGAAUGAACACCAUUAGGAUAAAUAAAUAAACAAAUAAAUACA
Molecule: long non-coding RNA, 1692 nt
Organism: Crocodylus porosus (Australian saltwater crocodile)
Lineage: Eukaryota; Metazoa; Chordata; Crocodylia; Crocodylidae
Source: Ensembl